Long non-coding RNA from Perca fluviatilis (European perch), 402 nucleotides. RefSeq lists it as uncharacterized. The record is from RefSeq and is a predicted model, not a curated record. Lineage: Eukaryota; Metazoa; Chordata; Actinopteri; Perciformes; Percidae. The transcript is spliced from 3 exons.
CGUCAUUCUGGGCAGAGGAGCCUGUACUCUGACUUGUACCAAGAACAGGGGCACGUGAGCGAGCAAGAGACCCCUGGCAAGUACCUGGUACUCCCUUCAGGACCUCAGAAACAACAUGGCGAACUUUAGGACUAACAAAUGUGCUUCACCCAAAUGUAGAAGUGACAGAAGACCACAGUGACGACAAGAUCAUUGACAGCAAAUAAAGACAGGAAUGAAUACGUGCACAUGAAGAAACAAUGGAUUAAGCCAUGAGGCUCAUCGUGUGAAUGAAACAGACAAAUCCACAGAGUUUAGCAAAGCAACUGAACAAUGACAACCACAGAAAAUGUUUAUCAGGAUGUUAAAAUGUUCAAGUGCUGAUGAGAGAACAUUGUCUGAUAUUUGUUUAUAAAAAUAAAC